GUGUAUGCAUUGCGGGGGUGGGGGUUGAACAGAGAAUAGGAGGGGUUGGUAGUGAAGCCUAGAACCCUCCUUCCUCUCCCCUCCUGCCAGGGUUGCUGUGCAGGGAUUGUCGGCCACAUUUGGCGCACUGUCCCAGGCCCGGGGCGAAGGUGGCCUGGGGAAAUGGGGCUUAGGAAUUGCUAAGCAAACGGCACCAUUGGUGGUCUACAAGCGUCUGCGGAGAAAUGGAAAUUACAUUCUUGAAUAUUGGCCCAUCACAGAUUAAUCUGAUCUUGAGUUCACACCUAUCUGCAAAACUAUUUUAAAUAAAACCUUUCUUCAAUUUGUUGAUCUGGAAUAUUUCCACAGAAUCAAGAGACUCCGCGAGAGCAGGAACACAGGCAGGGGG
Molecule: long non-coding RNA, 388 nt
Organism: Leptonychotes weddellii (Weddell seal)
Lineage: Eukaryota; Metazoa; Chordata; Mammalia; Carnivora; Phocidae
Source: RefSeq, a predicted model, not a curated record